UACAUGGGGUGCAAGCGUUGCUCGGAAUUAUUGGGCGUAAAGCGCACGUAGGCGGUUUGUUAAGUCGGAUGUGAAAUCCCUCGGCUCAACUGAGGAAGUGCAUCCGAAACUGGCAGGCUUGAGUACUAAAGAGGGUCGCGGAAUUCCCGGUGUAGAGGUGAAAUUCGUAGAUAUCGGGAGGAACACCGGUGGCGAAGGCGGCGACCUGGGUAGAUACUGACGCUGAGGUGCGAAAGCGUGGGGAGCAAACAGG
Molecule: ribosomal RNA, 253 nt
Filed under: uncultured bacterium
Lineage: Bacteria
Description: partial 16S ribosomal RNA
Rfam family: Bacterial small subunit ribosomal RNA
Source: RNAcentral